RNAcentral lists this ribosomal RNA (134 nucleotides) under uncultured eukaryote. Its description in RNAcentral is "partial small subunit ribosomal RNA". It matches the Rfam family "Eukaryotic small subunit ribosomal RNA", at positions 1651 to 1786 of the family's 1831-position model. The record is from RNAcentral.
CCCUGCCAUUUGUACACACCGCCCGUCGCACCUACCGAUUGGAUGGUCCGGUGAAGGCUCGGGAUUGUGCCUGUCACCUUUGUUGGAGAUGGGAACAAGAACCUGUCUGAACCUUAUCAUCUAGAGGAAGGUGA